UUUUUCAGGUCUCACAGGCAGGAGGCUGCAGGGUUACUAUUCACAGGCAGGCUUCAUCUAUCUAAGAACCUGCUGGGCAUCUUCUCCCCCAAGGGACGUCUCCCAGGAUGUCCUUGCAGUGCAGAGAGGCUCUGGGUUCCUGGACCCAAGAUAUAAUGGCUCUACAAGUGUUGGUGAGCUGAACCCAUGAGGCCUGUGACUGCAGCAGAAGGUCCAUACGUCUAGUUUGAUUUAACAGCUCCCACGUGAUCCUCUGCUACAGCUGGAAGACAGUGUCACCACGCCUUCCCCAUGUGAUGGGUGUAGCCCUGAAAUGUGAGCCCAGCUAAAAAUUGAGGAUGAAAGUCUAGGUGACUUUCUGGUGGCUGUGCAGAUGAGAAGUCGGACAGUGGCACUGCAGUUUGCUCUGAUUGACUCUGGAGCCUGUGUUUGAAGCUACAGCAAUACAACAGUCUGCUCCAGCGCUGAGCUUGUAGGAAGGCGACCACUCCAGGCCGACUCAAUGGCUUUAGCCUCCAGAGUUAUCGUCGUUUGGCAGGAAGUCUUAAAGAACCCCACAGCGUGCCCUUCCGCCCCUGGCACAUCAUAAGCUAUUUUGGGAUGAGUCAUCGGAAUUCUGUGGUUUGCAUAUCCUGAAGGGGAAGAGAAGACACUGUAUGGCUAACAUUUAUUUGAAAUAGCAAGUUGGAAAGAAAAAUUCUUCGAUAAAAGUUCAGCAUUAGAACACACAGGAAGGUAGGCUUGGUGACUUCUGCAUGUGACUGUCAUAAGCAGAUGCUUGUUGCGCUUCUCCCAAGCCACGUUGGAAGAUGCUUUCCAAAUGCCUUGCGCUGAGCACAUCACCAGAAUGGUUUCCAAGCUACAAGAUGGCUCCAGGGGACACAGGAUACUCACCUGGCUGAGUAAGGAGGGAGAAGGGAUCUGUAAGUGCUCCCCCGUCAGCUGCUACACACUCUGACAUGCAGCUAAUAAUUUAUGAACUUCUAACUUUGGAGGCUGCCUUCAGAUGAUAAGCCUCAUAAAAGCUAACAAGGGUAUAUCUUUGGUAAGUCAGCGAAGCAUUAAAAGGACAAAUAGCCAGUUGAUUUAUUGCUUACUGGAAUAUGUUUGAACAUGAAAGAUUAAAAAGUGAGAUUUCCUUUUCAUUUAAAAGUUAUAUCAGCAGAAACACACAUACGCACUCACAAACUCACACACUCACAUACAACACUAACCAGACUCAGCAGGUUGUAUUGAGAUAUUUAUCCAUAUGUGUGUGUGUGUGUGUGUGUGUGUGUGUGUGUAUACACACACACAUAUAUAUGUAUACACAUACACAUAUAUAUAAAACAAUGCUAAUUGAAGAUUAAAAGGCUAUGAACUUAAAAGGGAGGAGGGAGGGGCUGGAAGAAGGACAGGAGGGACAAAGUGAUAUAACUAUAUUUUAGCUUAAAAUAAAAGAGAUGAACU
RNAcentral lists this long non-coding RNA (1449 nucleotides) under Mus musculus (house mouse). RNAcentral's name for it is "predicted gene 12610". Lineage: Eukaryota; Metazoa; Chordata; Mammalia; Rodentia; Muridae. The record is from RNAcentral.